Molecule: unclassified non-coding RNA, 310 nt
Filed under: uncultured fungus
Lineage: Eukaryota; Fungi
Description: sequence contains ITS2
Rfam family: 5.8S ribosomal RNA (bases 1-52)
Source: RNAcentral
AACGCACCUUGCGCUCCUUGGUAUUCCGAGGAGCAUGCCUGUUUGAGUGUCAUUAAAUUCUCAACUGCACCUCACUUUUUUGUGUCAGGGGCAGCUUGGAUGUGGGGGUUUUGUAGGCUUCAUUUUUUGAAGCCCACUCCUCUUAAAUAGAUCAGUGGGACCUCUAUGGGGAACUGCUUUGGUGUGAUAACUAUCGACGCCAUGGCUUGUGACCAUGAAAUUGGGUCUUGCUUUCAAAUAGUCCCAUGGGACAAAAUCUGUAUAUGAACAAUUUGACCUCAAAUCAGGUAGGACUACCCGCUGAACUUAA